GUUAAGUAAUUAAAGGAUUUACGAUGGAUGUCUUGAGGUCUAAUUUUUGAGAGGUCAAUAGUACCAAAAGUGUAUUUAAUUAAUAGUUUUUAAUACACAUUCUCUGGUGAAAACUUUGUUUUAUUUACUUCGGGAACAGAAUCAUCUAAUUACCGAAAGGAAAAGAAAUCAACCGAGAUAUUGAUAGUAACGGCGAGUGAAUUCAAUAAAGCCUUUCUAAAAAUAAAUCAAAUAAUAUUUUGGAAUAAAUAAUUAAAAAAUCAGUUUGAAACUGACAAUAUAAAGUGAUAGUCUUAUAUUUGGUUUAUUAAUAGAUAUAUAAUAAGUAAUAUGGGUAAAACUGUAUGAAUGUUCUUAUAAAUAUAAGAAUAAAUAAGGAGUUAUCAUCUUCUAAGGCUAAAUAUGAUUAGAUCAUCAAUAGUGAAGAGUAACGUGAGUGAAAGAUGAAAAGACAGUCGAUGACUUGUGAAAAAGAUCCUGAAAUCGUAAAUCUAUAAGCAGUCAGAGUCUAAUUAAAAAAAUUGGAUGAUGAUGUACCUUUUGCAUAAUGAGUCAGCGAGUAAAUAUUAAUAGCAAGAUAUAAAAGAAGUCCUAGUGAAAACGACUUAAUCAUUUUUAAUGGUUAUGGUAGAAGUUAUUAAUAUUUGACCCGAAACCUUAAGAUUUAGCCAUGGUCAGAUUUAUUGGAUCGAACAGGUGAGUGUUGCAAAACUCUCUGAUGAACUGUGGCUGGCGAAGUGAAAGACAAAUCUGUUGAGGAUAGCUGGUUCUCCACGAAAUAUAUCUUAGUAUAGACUGUAAAGAAAAAUUCUAAUCCUGUACAGCACUGAUAUUCAUAUCAUUUUUGAUUAAAUAGGGGGGUUUAUUAAACUCUACCUUUGAAUGUUAACCUCGGAAUUGGUUAGAAUGAUAUUACAGAUUCAGACUAUUUGUGAUAAGGUGGAUAGUCAAAAGGGAAACAGCCCUGAACACAUGUUAAAGUUCUUAAAUUAAUAUUAAGUGAAUGUAAGGAUGUUUUAAUUCGAUGACAGUUAUGAAGUGUAUCUGGAAGUCGUAAUCUAAUAAUGAAAGUGUAACAACUCAAUAACCUACUGGUAUUUUAUUUAGAAAUAAAUAAUUUACUGAAUUGAAGCGCCGAAAAUUCAUAGGAUCUUUAAAUAUUAUACUGAUACUGUGUUUGCAUAUAAAAAGUAUAUGUAAGGUAGUGGAGUGUUCUAUUAUAGGACGAAGGUUAGUUUUUAUAUUAACUGGACUUAAUAGAAGUAAUAAUGCUGAUAUGAGUAACGUAAUAACAGGUUAAACCCUGUACCUCUUAAGCGAUAGGUUUCUUAUUAAAUGUUAAACAGAAUAAGUUUAAACGGUCUCUAAGGUAAAUAAACUUAUGUUUAUGACUGAUGAGGAAUUUAUAUAAAAAGUUUUUCUUUAAAAACUCAGGAAAAUGUAUAAAUAUUCACCGUACUAAAAACCGACACAGGUUCGCGCAUAGAGUAUAUCAAGAGGUGAAUCAAUUACCCUUAAGGAACUCGGCAAAUUGCACUCGUACGUUAGACAAUAAGAGUGACCACACUAAGGGGUAUCAUACAAUCGGGACCUGCGACUGUUUCCCAAAAACACAGAUCUCUGCAACGAUUAAUUUCUUAGUAUAGGGAUCGAGUCCUGCUCAGUGCCAAGACGCUAAAUAGGUAACUCUAAUUAAUAGUUAGGGAAGACUUAUAACGUCUGGUAAUCAGCAGUCUUAACUAAAAGGAUUCUAAGGUAGCUAAAUUCCUUGGCAGAGGUCAAUAGUACCAAAAGUGUAUUUAAUUAAUAGUUUUUAAUACACAUUCUCUGGUGAAAACUUUGUUUUAUUUACUUCGGGAACAGAAUCAUCUAAUUACCGA
Ribosomal RNA from Wallemia ichthyophaga EXF-994, 1880 nucleotides. It matches the Rfam family "Bacterial large subunit ribosomal RNA". Lineage: Eukaryota; Fungi; Basidiomycota; Wallemiomycetes; Wallemiales; Wallemiaceae. The record is from Rfam.